This 8766-nucleotide long non-coding RNA is filed under the name Heterocephalus glaber (naked mole-rat). Its description in RNAcentral is "lncRNA (ENSHGLG00000042012.1)". Lineage: Eukaryota; Metazoa; Chordata; Mammalia; Rodentia; Bathyergidae. The record is from RNAcentral.
UGUUAUAAAUUUAUGUAUCUGAUUUCUAUGCUAGGUCUAGUAAUAUAUAUAUAUAUACAUAUAUAUAUACACUUAUCUAAAUCUUUUUGAACAAUUAUAUAAUAAGAAUUAUUUAAUACCUAUCUUUGUAAGCACAUUUAUAAACUUUUGACAUGAGAUUUGUAAGUUCCUAACCAGCAUUAAUAUUAUAUUAAGAAAUUUGUAAUAAAAGUGUCUAACAUCUCUUUUCAUAAAAUAUAUAACAGUUUAGAAAAAUAGUGUAUUUUAAGGCAUAUGUGGAGCAAACUGACAUAUUCUUUCAUCUACAAAAGUUGCAAGAAGUUCAUGAGAAACAAAAAGAUUGAGUUGUCAGUAUUCAUAGUGCUUCUCCCUGUUCAUUUAUUACUUUGUGCACCAGCAUAUUCUGGUAAAUGCUUAAUAACUGGUUCUCCCAAAAGAAAUGCCCCAAGUGUGGAAUCUAUUAACUUCUUUAGUGCAAAUACCCCCAUAAUGGUCAAUUCCAGGGCCGCGUAACACUGAGUAGCAGAGGCAUGCACUAAUCAGAUCUCAUUAGGUCCUAAGGACUGACUGGAGCAUUUGCUGCCUGUAAACAGGAGACAAAGGAUUGUUAGGGGCAUCAUAACUGUCUGAGAGUGUUGGGAGCAAUGCUACAUAAUACUAGGGAAAAAUCAUUUGAGUAGGCCUAGUUCUCCUGCCUACAGCCCAGCUAGGACAUUCCAGACAUAAUUGCAUUUUGGCCUCUGGUCACAACUGAGACCUCAGUGAUCCCCCCCCCCCCAUGCUGCAAUCUCCAGGACAAGACCACACCUGUGGGAGAUGCCAGGGAGGAACCAAAUCUUCAUCUGCAUAAUUCCUCAUUGUUCUUAGAUUUCCACUGCCCCCCAGCUUUUUGUUACACCUUGUUUAUCCCAAUGUGAAGUACUGAACUCUAUUUUUCACUUGUUACAUUUGUUUCCCCAUGUACUGAAUAAAAGGUGCUGGAAGCUAGACGGUUUUUGUCUUUGCCACCCAGAGCAGCACUGAUCAGACCCAAAGCUCAGCUUCUUCUCAGUCUCAUUUGUCUACCUUUCCUGUAAUUCGCUGUGUGCUGCCAUGGCUCACAGGUGACUAGGACUUACUGCAGAGGUUCUGGUAAUGUCCCCUUCCCCUGUUCCCUACAUGAGAGUGUUCAUAUUUUACAAAGAUGAGGGGAAAGUCAGAGGUUGGGGCUGGUGAGGCUUCUCAGUGAUUUUUCAUGGAGAUUUUGCUGGUUUCUGAGUGAUGAUGUGGGCUUUAAAAAUAUAUGGACCAUUUGAUUUUCAGAUACCUAGGCAAUCAAGGUGAUAUUUGUGUUAUCAUGCUUUUUGUGUGUCAGGUAGGAAAAAAAUUGUCAGUUGGGAAAUAAUGCUGUUUUUUUAUUCCUUAGCAUUUAGAGUUUAAAUAUAAUGACUUUAGUAAUAAUCCUACUAAUAACUAUAUGUGUCUUGGUAAGAUAUACUAUUUUUUCCACAGUAUUGACCAUUUAAUCAUUGAAGGUGUUAUGUGAAGAGAAUAUGAUGACUCUGAGAAUGUUGCUGGUACUGAAGUUUUGAUGGGAUCCAAAGAGUGUUAACGGUUCCCUAAUGAUGAAAGUGGACCAAGGUUAUUUGUUGGUAUCUUGAUAGAACAGACUGUGUCCUUAAAUGUAUUUAUCACAUGGAUCUACUUAGGUUCCAGUCAAGACAUCACUGUGUACAUACAUGUUUAUUAAUGGAGCUUUCCAGGUAUCCAGGCAAGUGAUAAGGAAGGAUAGAUAACACCCUUGACUAACACUGAGAAACCAUGAAAUUAGAACUGUGACACUGGAACUUGUGUUCUCAAGUCUUUUGCUCUCCCAUCAAGCUCUUUCCAAGUGCACAGAGAUGAGCUGCUGUUACAUUUCUCAUUAAAGAUGUUGUUUCCAGACAUCAAGGUAAUUAAUGAUACUGUUGAAAUUCUUCUACUGAAAUUGUUUUUGGUAUGUGUGCAGAUGAAAUAAUGGCCAGCUUAAGUGGGAAUGCUCAGCUUAACUGAGGGUGAUUCUGCAUGUGGGUGACCCACCUAAGGAUUGUUGCCAGAACUGCAUAAAAGGAGGAUAGGAGGGGAGGAAUGCUGGCUGCUGAUUUCCCAGGAGAAGCUUUGUUGGAACUGGAACUCAGUGGCUUUUCUUGCUGUUGCUCCCUCAGUGGGUGGGUGGGGGGGGGUGCUGGUCUUUGCCUUUGUCUUGAGCAUCACUCCCUGGUUCCAGUGCAGAUCCCUCAGUGUUCUGGCACAGAUUGUUCACCCUGCCGGCAUAGACUUUUGAGCUUCUACCACUGGCCCUUGGGCCUUUUGGUGCAGAUUCUUGAUAUGAACUUGCAUGAGACAUUGCUGAGGGCUGUAGGCCUCUGGCUGGACUCAUGUGGAAUAUUAUGUGGAAAGAUCUAUUGCACUUUUCUGGGUUUGACUUUUUGGGAGAAUAUUGUAAGACAGUCCUAUAAAUUUGUAUAUCCUGUGGUAAAUCUGUUUCCUUGGAAACACCGACUAGAACAGUAUGUUUAUAGGUAAAAAAUAAAUUUGUAACAGUAAACAUGGAUUUUUCUUUAUUUGCAGGUAUAGACAUGCAAUAAGAUGUGCACCAAACACUGGGAUUUUUAGAUUUCUGUCAAGACCUUAUAGUAACCCUUUCAACUGUUGGUCAGCACACCAUGUAGGUAGGUGGUUUCAUGUAGGUUCUGAUGUAGGCCCAAACCACAGCACAGCUUGGCAAUCUUACUGGUUUUACCUUCUCAAGUAUUCUUAAAGAUGUAUUUUCUAAAGCCUUUGCAGAUUUCUAUCAUGAGAUCACAGUUAAUCUAACAUCAGCCUUUAAUGGCAGACAUUGCUGUUAUGCAAACAAGUGCUGAUGUAGACCAAAACUAAAGCACAGACCACCUGAUCUUCAGAUCACAUGAGGCAAGUGGUUAUGGUUUCCCUACCACUUGCCAUCAUGAUUUCUUUGCCAGUAUUCAGGUGAGGAAUAAUAACAUCCUUAGGAACACUUGAAACCAUGCAGUUUCUUUUCUGUAUUUCAGAGAGAAUGUGUAACCCUGUAAGGAGGUUGCACAUAUCCAAGUAUUUAUCACAUAGUCCCAACUAUAGUAAUCAUAGGAACUAGGCAGAUAUUCCACGAAGAAAUGUUGUCUUAUCUGACAUUAUCCUUGACCUUGGAGAACCACAAGAAUCCAGGUAGAGUCCUGUGAUCAUGGAUGUAAUAGAAGCUAUUCAACAGUUCCUGGUAGGUUGUGUCUUGAUUCCUGUCAAGGGUUAACAGUGAACUUAAAAAGUUCAUUAUCAGGAGAUAUUUCUGUAUUAGAGUAAAUAUUUUCAUGUACAGCACAUGCCAGACCGACCAUUAGAUCAUCAAAUAUCUGGGUCAGUGAUGUUUGUUUCCCUACAAUUUUUAUCAUAUGAUUAAAAAAAUGUAAGUAUGUAGAUAAGGAAUGCAGUAUUUCAUAUUCUAGAAACCAUAUUAUUGCAUUAUCUUACAUUUAGAGAGAAUUUACCCUGGGAAUUUCAAAUGACUUUCAUGUACUCAGGUUAUUAUUAUGCAUUUAUGCAUCAUGGUAGUUAACAAGUUAAAUAUUAGCAGUCAUGAGAUAAUGAGGUUUGGAACAAUGAUGUUCAUCAUAAAAUAAUCAAGAAUACAAGUAGAGUUGAUGAGUCCAGGUAGAAAUGAAAUCUUGCAAUAAUGACAAUAAAGAAAGUUAUUUGAAGGGUCCCAGUAGAAAAGUCUUACCAUACAUAUACUUGUCACCCAUGUUUUUACAUUUCCAUGCAGAUACGGUGGUAAGUCUCAUGAUGACCAACAGUGGCAGUUUGUUGUAUCCAUGGCCAUGAUGAUCAAGAGGGAUAUUGUAAGUGUGGGGUUCUUACAUUUAUUUUAGCAUGUUUCCUGUACAUAUUUAGUAAAGGAAUGAUUCUGUUUACCACUGCUAGUAACAAGUAGCUUAUUAUAUAAAGUUUUGAUAAACUCUGAAUUUAAUCCUAGGAGGUGUGGAGGCAUAUGCAGGGAUCCAUGUAAGUUAUUCAACUGAUCCACAUCACAGUAUUGACCAUAAUUUUUUCUACAGGUAGCCAGCCAAGAGAAAAUGGUGUGAAGAACAACAUCUCUGACCUUGAAGUUCUAAAGAUCUAAGUACUUCAGUUGGUUUCCCUGAUGAUGGAGGUGACCAAAAUUUUAAAGUUGUCCUUUUUUUCUCCCCUCAGGUGAAAGAUGAUGCGUCCUAAACACACAUCUCAAAGUGUUGUCUAAGAUUCCAACAGUUAUUAAAUUAUAGUGAUUGAACUUAAGAAUGGUAAUUUAUGAAAUGUUAUGACUAACCUGGUAAGUAAGAAAUUGUCCCUACCAAGAUGCCAACAAAUAACCUUCAGAUUUCUUGGUAAAGUGGAUGGGAUAUCUAACACAAUGUUACCCUGGCUUUUUGGCAGGUAUUCCAUUAAGUUUUAUCCUAGUGUACAGGUUUGUUGACUUUAAAUCAUUAGAGGCAUUUCUUAUUUUUUGGUAUUUAUAUCAUGAAUGAUGCUUUUGAACUCCUGUGGUAACCUCUGCUUAGAACACAGUUCAAAAUAUGAUUUGUCAGUAAUGCUUUUUGUAAAUAUGAGAUUGUACUAUGGACUUAUUUAGAGAUUGUGAUAGGUUAUUGUAUAGGGAUGCAGGUCAUUGACCAUAUUUCCUAUCCCCUAGUAUUGACCAUGGGAAUUUUGCUAGUGUUUCUUCCAAACAAGAUGGUAUUUCUUAGUAGGCUUUUACCUCAGUGUUCAGCUUUAGCCAUGUAAUUGUGAUAAGAAUAUGAUUUGUCAUGUUGAACGCCAUGACCAAGGGAAUGUGUCAAUGUCUUCCUUGAAUGACAUAGGUUCCAAAAUCAUUUUUCAUGAUUUGAUUUUCAAGUUCCUCUGAAGACACUGUGAUUAUCCUACCCAUGGGAGUGAGUAAAGUCCAUAGAGGGUUAUGAGGUAAGUGCUGAGGUACCCUAAACCAGAUCUUCAUCUAUAGAGGAAAGGGAUGAGGGUGUCCUGACUAUUACUAGAUUUAGUGGUCACUGCUCCUAUAAGAAAUAAUUUUGUCCUUCACAGUUCUAGUAAAUAUGAGUUUAUCCUUUAUAUGCCAUAGGGAAAAUUGGUGUUUUAGCAAGGACUGCUGAGGGAGUGAUUAUGAACUGGUUAAUUGAAAUUAUUGUGGAACUCUAGGACUGCAGUAAGCAUAGGUUAAUUUCCAGGGUGUGGAGAUGACAAAAUAUGGGCUCUCUGACAAUACUGUUUUUGUUUGGUGAAUCCAAGUAUCCUGAGGAGUUUAGCUGUCCUUUAGCAAUGGACAUUAAAAAGGGAGUGGGCUCAUGUUCUGACACAGCACCUUCUAUGCCAAACUGGCUUUGUAUUUUUUUCAGAUGCCCUUCAAGAGAACACAGUGAUCCAGAAAAGAUGGUUGUUGCAGUCACCCUAGUAACAAGGUAAAUGAUAAAAUGGUCAUAGUCCAGUGAAGGCUGUUUGAUCUUCUAUAAUCCUGGCAAGUUCCUAACUAGGUGCUCAGAUGUUAAGGUCUUGGCUAGUGUAUUGGUCUGGGAUGAUAUAGUCACUCACUAGUGACAUCUCAUUUUCAGCAAUUCAUUUUAUGACUGUGUUAGGUUUUAUUAUAUUCCCCCACUUCUGGUGAUACAUGUUUUCAAAACAUAUUAUCACCUUAAUAUUACAAGGAUACAUCAAAUGUCAUUGCAUCUUUUCUGGAAUGUAAUAGAUGUAAUAUGCUUGUAUUGCUACUGGUGGAGAAGAGAUUUAUGUAAUUUUCACUGAGUCCAUCUCUGAAAUAUUGUCCUUGGAAGGUUUGCAUGUAUCACUGAAGACAGACAACACUCUCUUACAAGGCUUUAUCCAUGGAAGCCUGCAAGUAUCUAGAUAACGUAAGUGGAUGCUGAAAUGAUGAAGUGACAUAGGGAAUUUGGAGUUGUAUAAGUGCAAAUGAGACAUAUACCAAAUCAGAAGUCUAUGACAAGAGUCCAUAGAUGGGUGAAUACAUCACAGCAAGCAAAAUAAGUUUGUAAAGUAGAACACUACUGAUCUCUCUAUAAGUGCUAAUGUGGGCAUUCACCACAUCACAGGAAAUCAGAUCUUCAUAUACAGGGAUGAGUGAUGAGGAUGUCCUUGACACUUGUUACUGAGGUUUUGUUACAAGUACUAAUGGAUGAAAUGAGAGACAUGAUGAAAAUAUCUAGUGAAUGCAAUACUGCAUUUUGUAUGAGACAGAAAUGAAUAUUGAACCUGUACAAUUUCAGGGAUCCAUCGCAUCAUGGUUGGAUGUAGACAUGGUGGUGUUACAACACAACAGUAAACAUUGAAAAAUUUACAGAUGGCUCUAUUACACAUUUGGACAUGCCAGAGAAUACAAUUUACAUAGAAUUAAGGACUCUAUUAACACAUAGCUGAAGGAUGCCUUUCUGUUUCUGGGUGAGGGGCAGAAAGAGUCAGUGACAUGGAAGAGCAAGAUGAGAGCUAAAUGACAGUUUUCUGUAGGUGCUUUCAAGUUAAUGGAAGUGAUCAAUUGAAUGAGUGUGUUGAAAAAACCUUGAACAAACCAAGGAAAAACAAAAGUAUAAAUUACAGCCCAUUGGCACCCAUCCAAUCUUCAAUAUCCAGGUGGCUAGCAUAAGGGUAAUAGCCCAAUGAGAUGUUGUCAUGUACUGGAUUCUUAUGCUGGGAAGGUCACUGUGACUGUCGAGUUCUGAGCUGACCCCACAUUCACACAUCAGAGACCUUAUUUUCAGAUGUGAUUUUCAUUGUUGAUAGUGAAACUCUGAGGUAGUCUCCUUUAUUUGGCAAGUGUGAGGUUAAGGGGCUCAUUCCUAUCAGGGUGUAGAAUCAGGUGCUACUGAAUCCAGGCCGAAAGUGUGCCUUUAAACUGGCCAUUGUAAAGGGGAACAAAAGAGGGUGGAGGGGGGGGAGAGGAAAGAAGAAAGAAAGAAAAGAAAAUAGAAGAAAAAAUGGAAACAAAGCUUUUGUAAAUAAAGGAGAAGGAGAGAGGUAGAGGGAGGGGAGGAGAAUGGGAAAAAAAAGAAGAAAGAUACAUCAUGAACAGGUACAAAUUCCCUGUGAUGAAUGCUAUCAUUAUGUUUACCUGAAAUGUACUAAUAAAUUUUUUGCUUCAAAAAAAAAAAACAACAACAACAACAACAAACUAGGCAUUGUAGAGAAAAAGCAAGGAUUCAGAUAAUUAUCCUAGAGUAGUUCCCUGAGAUACAGAUUGUAACAGUUUGUCCGGUGUCUGCUCAGGAGUGUCCAUUUUCUCUUCUCUGGCUUUCAGUGUGCAUAAAUGAGGGUCCUUGUAGUGGUGAUGGACCCCUGAGUAAUCCCAUGAUGUGCAGAUUGUGCAGAUGGAGAAAAAGAAGGGCAUAGGAUAAAGUACAGGAUGGGUUCUUUCGGGUGUGUUUUCUAGUGAUGGGUCCAGACCUCACAGCCAGGAAAGGCCAGACCCUGGAACCUCACCAGGAUCCAGAUAGCAGCAAGUAUGGCCUCCAUCACAGCACAGGAAAUGGAUCUUCCUAGGCUUCAGUGGAGCAUGUUGGGGCCCUGAGUGUAGCCGAUACCAUAUUUUGUGUGAAUAAAUUCAAGUAUAAAAGACUAACAAAUCAGAAAUCUAGUCUGUGUGAGUUUUCUUUUUGUAUAGGGUAGGAAAAGUACUGUUCAAGGUCCCUGUGUCCUGGGAUUGCUUGCUUACUAUAUGCAGUGACAUGCUUGAGUACCAGACUGCUGAGAAAGAAGCACAGGUAACUUGCAGGCACCCACUUGAUGAGGAUCAGAGCCUUGGGAUGAUAUUCUUCCCUCAGUUUCAAUCUGGUAUGCGGUGGAGUGGAAGCCUCCCACACCAGUGGUGGUUGUCAAUGAAUCGAGCACGUUGUAUGCUUGCAGAACAUGCUGUAUCCUUUUAGCAUGGUCUUGUUCCUUUUCCCUUCAUGGAUACAGAGUGAUCAAGAAGUUGGUUGAUGUACACUUAUGGAAGGCCAGGGAAAUACCACCAUGGGUACAAGCUGAUCACUAGGCCAGAUGUCUGUAUCCAGGUCAGAAGGAGCCUCUGCCUAACCUGGUAUUAACAUGUUUCAUCACCAGGUAUCCUGCCAAAAGGUCUUGGGAGAUGCUGCUACCCUCAGCCAUGCAACACCUUCUUCUUUACUGAUGUACAUUGUGGGAGGGCACUUGGGCACACUUUGCUUUUCCCCACUGAUUCACCUGUGUGCCAGUGAAGGUGAAAUCUUCCCAGUGGCUGCUGGGACAGUCAUGUCACAGUGAGCAGCACAGUAUAAUCAGGUGGAUGCAUACAGACAUCCAGGUUCCUUCAAGGGAAGAUGAGCAGACUAUGGCUGGAACUGCAUGCAGGUGUCAGUGAAGUAAAAUGAAUGUUGAUCUUCUCUACAUCCUUGGAGUGCUUAUUCUUUGGUCCAGUGGUGUUGUGAUGGACCACCCUGCCCAGGAGAAAGCACAGAAUUCUUUGCAGGUCAGUAGUUGAUGAUAAUGAGUCUCAGGAUGAGAGUUUUGCACUCAAAUUGCUUCUGGUAUCAGAGUGAAGAGAAAGCCUUUGUGCCAGUGGUGAUGCCAGAGCACAGCCCAGUGUUCUUGCAGAGCAAAGGAUAAGGUUUUAGCAGGGUGUGGUUUGCCUUCCUUUCAGAUAUCUGCAGUGAUGAAAAAAUGUUUGUUGUGGUGAGAUUGCUGAUGAUAGAUGAGACCUCUGUGCAUGUAGCCUGGCUACAGGGCAUGAUAUUCCUU